AGAGUUUGAUCCUGGCUCAGGACGAACGCUGGCGGCGCGCCUAACACAUGCAAGUCGAACGGAGCUUAAAGAGCUUGCUUUUUAAGCUUAGUGGCGAACGGGUGAGUAACGCGUGAGUAACCUGCCCUGGAGUGGGGGACAACAGUUGGAAACGACUGCUAAUACCGCAUAAGCCCACGGAUCCGCAUGGAUCUGCGGGAAAAGGAUUUAUCGCUUCAGGAUGGACUCGCGUCCAAUUAGCUAGUUGGUGAGGUAACGGCCACCAAGGCGACGAUUGGUAGCCGGACUGAGAGGUUGAACGGCCACAUUGGGACUGAGACACGGCCCAGACUCCUACGGGAGGCA
RNAcentral lists this ribosomal RNA (345 nucleotides) under uncultured bacterium. RNAcentral's name for it is "bacterial SSU rRNA". It matches the Rfam family "Bacterial small subunit ribosomal RNA", at positions 8 to 350 of the family's 1533-position model. The record is from RNAcentral.